RNAcentral lists this ribosomal RNA (253 nucleotides) under uncultured bacterium. Its description in RNAcentral is "partial 16S ribosomal RNA". It matches the Rfam family "Bacterial small subunit ribosomal RNA", at positions 524 to 776 of the family's 1533-position model. The record is from RNAcentral.
UACGUAGGAAGCAAGCGUUGUUCGGAGUUACUGGGCGUAAAGAGUGCGUAGGCGGUUUUCUAAGUUUGGUGUGAAAUCUCCCGGCUCAACUGGGAGGGUGCGCCGAAGACUGGAAGGCUUGAGUAUGGGAGAGGUAAGCGGAAUUCCUGGUGUAGCGGUGAAAUGCGUAGAUAUCAGGAGGAACACCUGCGGUGUAGACGGCUUACUGGACCAUAACUGACGCUGAGGCACGAAAGCGUGGGUAGCAAACAGG